CAGUGUCUGAGGCUCGCUGCAAUCGCGUGUCGCCCUUUUCCGGUUGAUCCCGCCGGACCCGACUGCUAUCAGAAUAGGACUAAGCCAUGCGAGUCAACGUACACCUAGUAGCAAUACUAUAUGUACGUGGCAUACGGCUCAGUAACACGUAGUCAACAUGCCCAGGGGACGUGGAUAACCUCGGGAAACUGAGGAUAAACCGCGAUAGGUCAUAAUGACUGGAAUGAUUUAUGGCUGAAAUCUACAUGGCCUCUGGAUUGGACUGCGGCCGAUCAGGCUGUUGGUGAGGUAAUGGCCCACCAAACCUAAAACCGGUACGGGCUCUGAGAGGAGGAGCCCGGAGAUGGGCACUGAGACAAGGGCCCAGGCCCCAUGGGGCGCAGCAGGCGCGAAACCUCUGCAAUAGGCGAAAGCUUGACAGGGUUAUUCUGAGUGGUUUCCGCUAAGGAAAUCUUUUGGCACCUCUAAAAAUGGUGCAGAAUAAGGGGUGGGCAAGCCUGGUGUCAGCCGCCGCGGUAAUACCAGCACCCCGAGUGGUCGGGACGAUUAUUGGGCCUAAAGCAUCCGUAGCCGGUUCUGCAAGUCUUCCGUUAAAUCCACCUGCUUAACAGUUGGGCUGCGGAGGAUACUAUAGAGCUAGGAGGCGGGAGAGGCAAGCGGUACUUAGUGGGUAGGGGUAAAAUCCGUUGAUCCACUGAAGACCACCAGUGGCGAAGGCGGCUUGCCAGAACGCGCUCGACGGUGAGGGAUGAAAGCUGGGGGAGCAAACCGGAUUAGAUACCCGGGUAGUCCCAGCUGUAAACGAUGCAGACUCGGUGAUGAAUAAGCUUCGUGCUUAUUCAGUGCCGCAGGGAAGCCGUUAAGUCUGCCGCCUGGGGAGUACGGUCGCAAGACUGAAACUUAAAGGAAUUGGCGGGGGAGCACCACAAGGGGUGAAGCCUGCGGUUCAAUUGGAGUCAACGCCGGGAAUCUUACCGGGGGCGACAGCAGAAUGAAGGUCAGGCUGAAGACUUUACCAGACAAGCUGAGAGGAGGUGCAUGGCCGUCGCCAGCUCGUGCCGUGAGGUGUCCUGUUAAGUCAGGUAACGAGCGAGAUCCCUGCCUCUAGUUGCUACCAUUGCUCUCAGGAGUAAAGGGGCUAAUUAGAGGGACUGCCGUCGCUGAGACGGAGGAAGGAGGGGGCUACGGCAGGUCAGUAUGCCCCGAAACCCUCGGGCCACACGCGGGCUGCAAUGGUAAGGACAAUAAGUUCCUAGUCCGAAAGGAGGAGGUAAUCUCCAAACCUUACCUCAGUUAUGAUUGAGGGCUGCAACUCGCCCUCAUGAAUAUGGAAUCCCUAGUAACCGCGUGUCACAAUCGCGCGGUGAAUACGUCCCUGCUCCUUGCACACACCGCCCGUCGCUUCAUCGAAGUUGGUUCUUGGCGAGGUGGUGUCUAAUUGGCACUAUCGAACCUGGGGUCAGCAACGAGGGAGAAGUCGUAACAAGGUAACCAAGGGCGACACGCGAUGCAGUCAAUC
Molecule: ribosomal RNA, 1519 nt
Filed under: uncultured archaeon
Lineage: Archaea
Description: bacterial SSU rRNA
Rfam family: Archaeal small subunit ribosomal RNA
Source: RNAcentral